RNAcentral lists this ribosomal RNA (188 nucleotides) under Enterobacter sp. ku-bf2. RNAcentral describes it as "partial 16S ribosomal RNA". It matches the Rfam family "Bacterial small subunit ribosomal RNA", at positions 1 to 178 of the family's 1533-position model. Lineage: Bacteria; Pseudomonadati; Pseudomonadota; Gammaproteobacteria; Enterobacterales; Enterobacteriaceae. The record is from RNAcentral.
ACUUAAAUUGAAGAGUUUGAUCAUGGCUCAGAUUGAACGCUGGCGGCAGGCCUAACACAUGCAAGUCGAGCGGCAGCGGAAAGUAGCUUGCUACUUUGCCGGCGAGCGGCGGACGGGUGAGUAAUGUCUGGGAAACUGCCUGAUGGAGGGGGAUAACUACUGGAAACGGUAGCUAAUACCGCAUAACG